Osmia bicornis bicornis is the source of this 1794-nucleotide long non-coding RNA. RefSeq lists it as uncharacterized. The transcript is spliced from 3 exons. The record is from RefSeq and is a predicted model, not a curated record. Lineage: Eukaryota; Metazoa; Arthropoda; Insecta; Hymenoptera; Megachilidae.
GUCGAUGAAACGGCUUUUUGGUGUCCGGCUCGUUCCUGAAUCGGCGAAUCCAACGAGUUCUCCGAGUACGAGGUCUUCGACAGGAAUGAUGAGGCUCCUCGGGACCCUCGCCAACGGUGAAGUGCACCACGCUGCUUUCCGGUGGUGUAUCCUUGCCGGUUUCGCUGCUCGAAGAGUCCGGCGGUACCGACGACUCCUUCCACGUCAGGCUGUCCAGGGUGCCUGUAGAUCAGGAGUCUUAUGAAUUCUUUAUGGUUCAUCGACAUCUUAGCAGCACCGAUGAAAGUUUAAGCGGUGGUAAUCGCUUAGUCUUUUGUAAUUCUUUUACGUGUCUGGUGACACUCGAAUUAAUUGGAUAAAUUCAGGGGUUAAUGUUAAAUUCCACUUCCAUGCAAAUUCAAAGACAUGGACAAAGAAAAAGAAAUUCAAUGAACAAUGUAUUCAUUAUUUAUAUUACACGAUUACAGGUACAGACUCCUUUCCGCUGUUCCCGAAGAAAUUAUUAUAUUUUCUUCGUUUUAAGUUCGUUUCCAGUUGUAUAAUAACUUUGCAUGCAAUUUUGAUUCCAUACUUUACCAGUUAAGAAAACCGUAGCUUGCACUUUUUAUAUUUAAAUGCAAGAUCCGUCGAUAAAACUAACUUGUCGCGUUGUUCCAUAUUCGAAACGACAGAGUCAGAUGAACAGAAUAGACAAAGAAGAAAGUUCAUUCUUUAUUGCUUCAACUAGAUAAAAGAUGGUUUUCGUUACGUUUCUUCGAUUGCUCUCCUCUCAACUUGAUUAUGUCAAUGUAGCUUGUUGAUCUCGCCAACGCAAUCGCAAGAUGAAAUCAUACCACUGGCGCAUCUUGAUUAAAGUAAAUUACUUAAAAGUAUACAAACAAUUUUACAUAGAAAUUAUACAACGUUACAAGUAAUUAAGGUAACUUUGGCUUGCGACGAAUACAAAGGAUCGCGUGUUAUAUUUUAAUAUUGCAAUCAAACAACAUUUGUUAUUUAAACAGUUUAUGAAUUAGCUUCCCGGUCGAUAGUGUUAAGAAAAGGUAUUUGCUUUUGAAUAUGAAAUGUAAAACAUUUAUGUUAAUUAAAUGAUGGCUAUUCGAUCAAAUUACAAAUUAUUCUGAGCAAAUUAGUCUCGUGUGAACAGAAUGUAUACAUAUAUCACCGUCAUAUACUUCAUAUGCGUUUGGUAUGCUCGAGUUUAUUAUAGGAUAGAAAUUAAUGCGCUCAAGAAUGCGCUGCUGUUACCUGAAUGAUGUACUCGGAUAUCAAAUACACUCGCAUCUAAUUUUAAUUGAAUCUAAUAUUAAACAUGACGCGCGUUGUGUCUGAAAUCCCCUGAGAAAUAGAAAUCGCUUCUUGGCAUCGUUUAUUGCAAGAUACCAGUCUCAGCAAAGCUAAAAAUUCCGUUACUAUUCGAGGCAUUUAUUGAACUACUAUCGGGAUCGAUGAUUUUCGAUCGUUCAAGAUCAUAUCCUCCACCGCAAUCAAUUCGUACAAGGAGAUCCUUUGUCAUUUUACUCGACACAAUUUAUUGUCUUGUCUUUCCUUUUUCUUUAAUUCUUUAUACAAGAUAUUUCUGUAUGUAUGAAUGAAUCUGAAAUCAUUUGGCAAUCAGUCAGUUUGCUUCAUGAGAGAACCGAAUAAUUCGUAACGCUUUUGCUUUGGUUUUCAACUGUCCUAAAGGGACAAUUUAUAAUUAUAUAUAUCAUGUAUAAUAAUAAUAAUAAUAAUAAUAUAACAGGUGAUCGAUAAUCGGCACUUAUUGUUAAAUAAAGUGAUAAUAUUAUUAUCACA